GACGAACGCUGACGGUGUGCUUUAGACAUGCAAGUCGAACGAGAAAGCCCUUCGGGUGAGUACAGUGGCGAACGGGUGAGUAACACGUGGGCAACCUGCCCCUCGCAGGGGGACGAACCGGAGGAAACUCCGGCUAAUACCCCGUAAGCUUGUUGGGUCGCAUGACCCUUCAAGGAAAGGUAGCUUCGGCCAUCCGGCGAGGGAUGGGCCCGCGGUACAUUAGCUAGUUGGUGGGGUAACGGCCCACCAAGGCGACGANGUAUAGCUGGUCUGAGAGGAUGAUCAGCCACACUGGGACUGAGACACGGCCCAGACCCCUACGGGAGGCAGCAGUCGGGAAUCUUGCGCAAUGGGCGAAAGCCUNACGCAGCAACACCGUGUGAGCGACGAAGGCC
RNAcentral lists this ribosomal RNA (395 nucleotides) under uncultured bacterium. RNAcentral's name for it is "bacterial SSU rRNA". It matches the Rfam family "Bacterial small subunit ribosomal RNA", at positions 28 to 416 of the family's 1533-position model. The record is from RNAcentral.